RNAcentral lists this ribosomal RNA (253 nucleotides) under uncultured bacterium. RNAcentral describes it as "partial 16S ribosomal RNA". It matches the Rfam family "Bacterial small subunit ribosomal RNA", at positions 524 to 776 of the family's 1533-position model. The record is from RNAcentral.
GACGGGGGGGGCAAGCGUUGUUCGGAAUUACUGGGCGUAAAGGGCGCGUAGGCGGUUCGCUAAGUCGGAUGUGAAAACUCUGGGCUCAACCCAGAGCCUGCAUCCGAAACUGGCGGGCUAGAGUUCUGGAGGGGGAAGCGGAAUUCCUGGUGUAGCGGUGAAAUGCGUAGAUAUCAGGAGGAACACCGGUGGCGAAGGCGGCUUCCUGGACAGAAACUGACGCUGAGGCGCGAAAGCUAGGGGAGCAAACAGG